RNAcentral lists this ribosomal RNA (491 nucleotides) under Condica sutor. Its description in RNAcentral is "partial 16S ribosomal RNA". The record is from RNAcentral. Lineage: Eukaryota; Metazoa; Arthropoda; Insecta; Lepidoptera; Noctuidae.
UUAUCAAAAACAUGUCUUUUUGAAUUUAAUAUAAAGUCUAAUCUGCCCACUGAUUUUAUAAUUAAAGGGCUGCAGUAUUUUGACUGUACAAAGGUAGCAUAAUCAAUAGUCAUUUAAUUGAUGACUUGUAUGAAAGAUUGGAUGAAAUAUGAACUGUCUCUUAAUUAAAUUAUAGAAAUUAAUUUUUUAAUUAAAAAGUUAAAAUAUUUUAAAAAGACGAGAAGACCCUAUAGAGUUUUAUAAAUAAAUUAUUUGAAAUUAUUUAUAAAUUUAAUAAUUAAUAUUAAUUUAUUUAUUUUGUUGGGGUGACAAAAAAAUAUAAAAAACUUUUUUUUUUAUAAAACCAUAAAUAAGUGAUUUUUUGAUCCAGUUUUAUUGAUUAUAAGAAAAAAUUACCUUAGGGAUAACAGCGUAAUUUCUUUUUUUAGUUCGUAUAAAAAAAAGAGUUUGCGACCUCGAUGUUGGAUUAAGAUAAAAUUUAAAUGCAGAAG